RNAcentral lists this ribosomal RNA (233 nucleotides) under uncultured bacterium. RNAcentral's name for it is "partial 16S ribosomal RNA". It matches the Rfam family "Bacterial small subunit ribosomal RNA", at positions 15 to 244 of the family's 1533-position model. The record is from RNAcentral.
GAUAUGGCUCAGGACGAACGCUGGCGGCGCGCCUAACACAUGCAAGUCGAACGAGAGAUGAAGAGCUUGCUCUUCAAAUCGAGUGGCGAACGGGUGAGUAACGCGUGAGGAACCUGCCUCAAAGAGGGGGACAACAGUUGGAAACGACUGCUAAUACCGCAUAAGCCCACGGCUCGGCAUCGAGCAGAGGGAAAAGGAGCAAUCCGCUUUGAGAUGGCCUCGCGUCCGAUUAG